This 253-nucleotide ribosomal RNA is filed under the name uncultured bacterium. RNAcentral describes it as "partial 16S ribosomal RNA". It matches the Rfam family "Bacterial small subunit ribosomal RNA", at positions 524 to 776 of the family's 1533-position model. The record is from RNAcentral.
UACGAAGGGGGCUAGCGUUGCUCGGAAUUACUGGGCGUAAAGCGCACGUAGGCGGCUUUCUCAGUCGGGGGUGAAAUCCUGGAGCUCAACUCCAGAACUGCCUUCGAUACUGGAAAGCUCGAGUCCGGGAGAGGUGAGUGGAACUGCGAGUGUAGAGGUGAAAUUCGUAGAUAUUCGCAAGAACACCAGUGGCGAAGGCGGCUCACUGGCCCGGUACUGACGCUGAGGUGCGAAAGCGUGGGGAGCAAACAGG